Taeniopygia guttata (zebra finch) is the source of this 10895-nucleotide non-coding RNA. NCBI's taxonomy places the organism in Eukaryota, Metazoa, Chordata, Aves, Passeriformes, Estrildidae. The record is from RefSeq and is a predicted model, not a curated record.
CACACUGACCCUGCCCGUGGCACAGACCUGCAGUGCUGCUCAGGCAGGGCUGUCCUGGGGCACGGGAGCUUCUCCUGCACACAGACAAGGCCAAGGCAGUGCUCUCAGCUGCUGCUGGCAGCUUCUCCUCUUUCCUCAGACUCCUGCUCUGAUGCUGCUUGGUGGUCCCAGGAACCCCCAUUUCAGCUCUGUGUUCUCCUGUCCUGUGAGAGUCCUUGAUGCCGGGUAUCCCUCCCCUCAGAGACACUUUCCAAUUGUUUCACAGACCUACUGGGUCCUACUUGUUUCCCAAGUAUGCUUCUUAUCUUCCUUUUUAGCUCCUGGCAACAUCUGCAAAUAGGGAAACUUUUGGCACUGUCAGCUAAUUGAAAUUUCUGUGGGACAAAGUAGCCCCUGCUGACACUUCAGUUUAACUGCUUUACUUUCUAUUGGCAACUUUUUGUUGUGUAGAUAUCCAGACUGUAAGAAAUUUACUGCUUUUAGAUGGAGCUUUAACUCAGAACUGCUUUAGGAGGGAACAAGUAAUGUUGAUUGAUGAUGCUGCUUAACACUUUUUUUGCGCUAAUGCUAACAAUUUCAAGUCAGAAAAUACUUUUCUACUGUAUUGCUCACACUUAGCAAAUCUCUUUCUCUCCCCCUUACUACAGAACUCAAUCAGAUACUUCAUAAAUGUGAUCCUUUCCCCUCUGUUCAUCCUCCUAUCAUGAAAUCCAGGCUUGUCCUUACUAACAGCUGCUUCAUGAAAUAUGAAAAAAUUACUUUGGAAAGCCUCUCUUCCCUUCCUUCCUCAACAGAAAGCCUUUUACAUUAUUGUUUAAAUAGAAGAACAGUUAUAUUUAUUAUUAGGAAAAAUAUUUUCCGUGCAGAACGCCAGGCCCUGCCACUGCCAAAAGAAGGACUAUUUGGUAUUUUGGAAGGAGUCUUGAGAGAAGGUAAGACUAUGGUUUAUGAUGAGGAAAACAAUCAAGUGUAUGAAACAUUCACUGCUGCAAAGGAGACCUUUGUGAUGUUGUUCAAGACUUUCUGGAUUGGGAUUGCCCCUGCCAGGCUGCAGUGGACCAUUGUGAUUGACCACUACAUUCUGUAAUUACUAGCAGGGAGAUUACUCCAGGAACACUAAAACAAAGUAUAACAAUGGCAGUAUUUUUAGCCAGGAAAGUUUGUAUUACAAUAAAGAACAACUAGAAUAGGUAACAACAGCAGCCACCUCACAAUAGCACGAGCUUGGUACGUUCCAGAUGAAUGAUCCUUCAGUGGCCUUAGCCCUGCCCUUCAGUCACUGGUAAACUGUGCUACCACAGCUGUGCUGCUGCCUUAAAUCACACUACCCAGAGGUGUGAGAACUGUGCUAAGGUUUUACUGGGACAGAUGUGGAAACUGAUUUACCACUGAUACUGAAGUGACCUGAAUAAAGGGCACACAGAGUGGCCAUAGAUAUCUAGGUGGAAAGGAGAAGUGACAGUAUAGAACCUCUGAAAUCUGUGAGUGUCUCAUCAAAAUCUGCUUUGGACCAGUUAAUGAAUGCUACAUAAUGAACAGAAGUAGGGCAACUGGAUGAGAACAAUGCACAGGUGGGUAAGAAGACUUCAUUUGGUGAGAAGAUAAUGAACAUGAGAACUUGUGGUUUGUCUAAAUACCACCCUUGCCUCCUCUUCAGAUAGCUCCUGCAUUGUUACUGCUCUUCCUCAGCCUGUCUUUCUACUUGUUAAGUGACAAGAGGAAGAUGGUUACAAAGGAAAGGGUUCCUCAGCAGAGAUUCAGCCAGAAGAGGGUCCUAUCUCUCUCUCUCUCAAUCAGACCCAUCCUAAACAUGUUUACUCUUAUGUGCUCUCCUGUACCUUGCCAAAAGAGGCUCAUUCUGCAGAAUCAUCCCUGCUUUGCAGUGCCUGGUUUUAUUAUCUCUCUGCAAGACUUGUCCCUUUCUUCCUUAAUAAAACUGUACCAAAUCUAACUUUUGGAGGAGAAGACAGGAUUGAUUCUUGAUACCUUGAUUUCUGAUGUUAGUACUGAGAGAAACAGCAGCUGAGCUGGCCCUGCCACUGCAGGGUUUGCCUGUACUGCACAGCUGCACUUUGCAGCCAAGUUUUACUGUGCAUCUCAGGAAUAGCAAUCUCUCCCACUGGAGUUCCAUGGCCCAUCCACACACCCAGGAAGGUGACACUGCUGUCCAGCUGAGGAGGAUCAAUGUAUAAUACAGAUAAUAUUUCCUGUGCCUGACAGCCUCUCCAGAGCUGCAGUUUGAGUCGCAGUGGGUCUGUGUUUUGAAGCCAGCCCUAGCUCAGGAUGGGACUGGUGUUCUGUGAAAUCAGCAGCAGAGGUAAAUGACUCAGGGACAGGAAUAUUGGAGAUGAACACAGAGCCAGGCAAUUUGUUCUUUCUGCUCUGGGUUUUGUUAACCUGACUGACAAGAACAGACAGGAAAUGGGGUCUGAAGGUCUCUGACUUGUUAAGCAAAGUAUUAAUUGCUUAGAAAUUGCAAAAUUUAGUUUAGUAAUGUGGUUUCUGAUAUUCCAAACAUGACUUGACCUUUUAAAAUGUCCCGUUUGAACUGGAACAAAAAUUAGUUGAGCUAGAAUUUAUCUGAGUGCGUCUUCCUGAGACUGUUUUUAAAAUUUCACCUAAACCUGUCAAAGGCAUGUUUAAUACUCAAAAUGGCAGAAGCCAUAGCCAGAACAGCUUCCAGCUAGAUAUGUGGUAGGAACAUUAUGCACACCAUUUGUUAAUACAGGCACGUACAGACCAGCAAUAAUUCCAGAAUCUCUGCCAGAAAGCUAAUGAGAACAUAGUUGGCCAUAAACUUUCCUCUGACUUGGGCAAGGGCAUAUCUAAUUCCAGUUGUCUCAUGUCCACUAGCUGCAAAAUGGAGGUAUCAAAGCACCAGUGCCAGAAUAAAUUAGGAUUUCUUGAGGGUUUGCAAUGAGAGACUGAGACAUGAUAAUGGAAGAAACCUGCCAUGGGCUGUAUUUGCAUAGGUGUGUGUAUGUUUUUCUUGAGCAAACAGGCUGGUUGUGGGUGCCAAAGAGCUCGCCACAUGUAUGAUGGGCUGAUGAGGAAACACUCUGUAUGUUCCAUUCAGAGCAUGUUUGAAGGGGGAAAACUGCAUGCAAGUAUUAUCUCCUCUGUAAUAGUCCAGGGAAAUGUGGAGAAAUGGUGUCACACCCACACCCUCAAAGCAGUAAACCUGUCAAAGGCUGCACUCCACAGUGCUCAUGGCCCUGUUCAUCCCAAACUAGAAGCCUUUUUUCCUUGCAUACCAUCCUUUAGAAUUGCAGUUAAUUUUAUGUCUCUAAGGAUUUAGGAAAAUCCUGGUGCUCUCCUGACAUGGGAUCUCUCAGGCCUUGUCCCAUGAAGAUAGGGAGCCAAAUCAAGAGCUGUUACUCAAGGACUCCCUGAAUGGGGAAGACUUUUUCUCCUGCUCUAACCCCCCUUCCCUCCCAUGCCCUCUGCUGAUAGAUGUUAAGAUAAACUUUAGAACCUUUGUUUCAUCUCCAACAAAUCUCCAUCAGCAUUCAGCACUGCCAGAUUCAGUGUUGCAGGGCACAGAAGUGCUUGGUGAAAAUCCAAGUGCAGUCCACAGUGAUAAUCAGCUAUUAAAGGCCUCCUCACAGUAAGCCUGCUCUCCUGUGGAGUGUGUUACCCAGGCUUCUCCAGCUCGGUGUGUCACAGCAUCUUUGACUGUUUUCUUCAUGUUCCAGCUGCAACCUUGCUGAUAAGUGAGCUGGAGGUGCUAUUUGUAUUCCAUGUGUAAGCAUGUUUGGAGCGUGCUUGACUAUUCCUACAGGAUACUGGCUUUUAGGGUCUGCAUGGACUUAGAUGGUUGGAGGCUAUAAGCCUUGGAUUUAUAGGAAUUGUUAUUGUGUUCUUAUCCUCCACUGGUAUUGGAUUUAUAUCCACAAAAGUCAUUCCCAGAAGGAAUGUAACUAGAUUUUUCUCCCAGAUUUUUAAUUUAAUUGGUGAUUGUUUACAUGAGAAUGCUUGCCAAAGUGAGAUGAUUUGGCAGUCCUCUGGAAUGUAAAGGUUAAGUAUAUUGAUUUCAUCUUUUCCCAAAGGAGCUGUUCUUUUUGUGCAAAAGCAUCACUGGUUUUGUUCUUGUGUCUGAAACUUUGUUUACAUGGGUUUAAUUGAAUUCUGGAAUACAGAUUGUUUGCACUCUUGGUUUGUUAAUAAAUCCUGACAUUCUCUGAGCAGUAAUUCUUCAGUGCUUUCAAUGCCAUAAAUACUGAAAAUAGGGAAAAAUCUGCCCUGCCAUUAUACACUCAGUUAAUAGGAGUUAUUUGUAGUGAUGGCAGGAUCUUAAACCCUUGUCUUAAUGUGAUCAAUACUGUCCUUAGUUUACAAAUAAGCAUGUCUGAAUUGUUCGCUUACAAACAAUGUCUACAAAUCAUAAUUAUUUUAACAUUAGCCACAAGCUUCUGACAGUCUCAGCUUUUGAACUGUACAUUCCUGAAGCAAAGUGAAUACAAAGCCAGAACUGCUAACUUUGCUUUCAGAAAUCACAUAUUUAAUUUAUUUCCCACUUAUGCAAAAAGUUGGUGGGGUUUUGGAUCUGCAGUUUAUGAGUAAGCUGUUUGUCACCUCUCUGGAGCUGAACAGCAUUUGGAACACCUUGGCUGGAGUGUUCUUUCAUCUGCUGUAGUGUGGGUGGGCCUUGAUCAGAGCAGCAGGUCUGGAUGGAUCACUGAGCUGCUGAAUAGCCUGCUGAGGAGCUAAAUGUCACAGCUCCUUCUGAACUGUGUGCUGGCCCUGCCAAUACUGGAGCAAAGGAAACCCCAAAGAGAUGAUCUGGUAAUUGCAGUUGAAAUUGGUGCUGUGGAUCUAUCAAUUUCUUUUUUGGUCACAUCUUCUAUUGACAUUUGUUUUCCACUUUUUUAAAAUCCAUCAACAAUUUUUCCUCAGUGAUCCAGGUCCAGACAAAUUGAUUAAUUUCAUAGAGCAGAGGUAUCCCAGCUGAAUUCUAGUUCUGCAUUAAUAAUAAUAAUAAUAAUAAUAAUAAUAAUAAUAAUAAUAAUAAUAAUAAUAGUGAUUUAUCUCCCGUGGGUCUGUUCUGCUGGUCUAAGUUGGAAAGAAGAUAAUUAUGAAGCAGGUGCCCAUCCCUGGGCUUCUGAUCGUUCUCCUGCAGAUCAGAUUUCAGUCUGAUGGUUCAGAGUCAAAAUUAUUCUUACUGUAAAGUGCAGUUUGGAUGGAGAUAAAUCAGAAGCAAUUGUGAUCCUUGUAAACUUAAAUUAAAAAUUCCUCUACUUCUCCUAGCAAAAUGCUUCUUUCUGACAUACCUCCCCAGCCAGGGACCCAGUGUUAACAAAUGAAACUUCUCUGGAGAUAGUUCUCAUUCCUUCUUAUCUUGUCAAAGUUGGCAAUAGAUUUCCUGAUAUUUUGUUUUUCUUCUCCGUCAUUCCUGCAAGACUCAGUCUUAACUCAAGAAUUUUGUUUGAUCCCUACAGAUCUUUAGGAAAUUAAUUUCAAAUACUUGAUGUUCCAAAUACUUUUUGACGCUUUAGGGUAUAUUGCUGGAGAUACUUUUGUUAGUUUAAAAAGCCAAGACCCAGCAGCUGCAAGAAUUUAUGCCCAUUAUGGAAAAUCCAGCAUGCUUUCUUUGCUAUGGCAAUACCAAAAGUCUGCUGGCACACCCGACUAAAGUACUUAUAACCAUAUAAAGGGAAUGCCUUUUAGGAAUUGGAUAAAAACACAGACAUAAUAUUUUCCAUCAAUUAGAUGUUGAGAAGUCCCAGACAUACAAUGCUGCAAGUGAAAUUAGAUGCCUUGGGAAACCUAUUCCAAAUGGAAAUUUAAUAUGUGGGAUCCUGACUCAGUCACCACUCCCUCAGUUUUCUACCCUCCCAAAAUAUAUUUGGAUAUGCUAGUAAUGUAAAUAUAGCAACAUUACACCCAGUAAAUACGCACAGAUUGGAUCAUGCGAGCUGCACUAAAUGCAGCUAUAGACAAACCACAAAGUUGCCUAUAAAGUAUUUUAACAACUUGCCAAUAAUGCACAUUUGCCGAGUUUCCUAUGUUACUGCAGAUGUGCAGUGCUACUAUUUGUGGAAUCCUUUCAGCAAACUGUGUAUUAUUUAUAAAUGGAAAAUGAGGGAGUUUAUGGUAGGCCUUCUGUCAUAGUUGUUUGGCACAUGGGAAUUAUAAAUAGGACAGGGUAAUCACUGAUGUGCUUUGCAUUUGGCACUGUGGUCAUUUCUGACCCAAAGAGAAGCUACAGGAGAUAAAUAUAUGAAGGUGCCUACCAGCUAUUUUUUGUGUGUUAAAGUAUAUUUUCUGCUUCACUCCCCGCUUAAGCUGCAAGCUGAAUGGAGUAUUUUGUUUUACAUAGUUCUUUAACUGCUCCCACAGCAUGGUUCUUCUCAAAACAGUUUGCCCCUAAGUGUUUGGGGCAGUUCUCUAUUAGAGGAGUGAAAUCAGCCCAUCAUUAUCAGUGCCACUUGCCAAAGGUGUUUGAGAGCCAUCCUGCAGGAUGUGCAGGUGAAGAACUGAACACCCAGAGUUGUUGGGCUGGGCUGAUGCAUUUUGGAUGAAAUCUGAAAUAAAUGCUCCUGAGUGCACAAUGAAGUCUUCUGCAAAUCACGUGCAAGAGGAAAUGUUUUCUGAACUCUGUGGAAAGCCUGCAGGCCUGGUCUGCAGAAACACCAGGAACAACACAGCACCCUUUGCUUCCUCCUGGCCUACUGAAGGUGGGAAAGAAUUGCUGAUGUUACUGGUGGAGCCAUUAUUCUCUUCGGCAACUCCAAGUGCAACAUUUUUGUUUUCUUCUCACAUCUACUUCAUUCAAUUUGCAAGUAGUUUUGGAUAUUUUUUAAAACUUUUUAAACACAAUCUGUGAUCUAGUUGUAUCCAGUUCUGCCUCUUCUUUGACUUUUUUCAAUGAUAGCUGCUUUCCUCAUUUGAAUUUUGUUGGCAGCUGUAUUGAUUGAUGUUCCUGGUAGAAUAGGAUCCAGCUGUCUUCACUUAAGAGCAUUGCAAUGCAGGACAAACACUUUAGGCUGUGUCAUCCAUGUAAACAGUCUGUGCUUCUAAAGCUACAUAAAUCCAUCCAGAAAAUGACAAUCCAUGCUUGGCUUUUGCUGUGCUACAAUGUGGACAGAACAUGGCUCUGGGUUUUUUGCCUAAAUCAUUGCAAUCAGCUAGCAAGGUGAUAUGCCAGGCAGCGCUUUAAUGAAGUAUCAUCAAGGAGCCAAAUAAACAUCAAGGUUGCCAAAUAAACAGCUUUUGAGGCGUAUGCAUAUCGUUAUUGUGGGAAAUGUUUCUACUAGUGUAUUAGAUAAUAGGUGCAAUUUGAAAAAAGAACACGCAGUCCUGUUCCUCUCCACCCCUUGUGCACCCUUUGGGUGUGGGCAUAAAAUAUUGAAAUGUGUAGCUCAGCAAAUUUUUGGUUCAUCUGGCUAAAAAGAAGUUGCAAAGCAGCAUAGAUUUUCUUUUGCUUUCCAUCUAGAUCUGAUGUAGCAACCCAGUAGAUUCUUUUUCUUAAGUGGGCUUUUUUUUCCCUCUUCCUUCUUCAUAUUUUGACACUGCACUUAUGGGUAGUGCACCUUUGUGACCUUGUAACUGCUAAGCCUUUUGCAUGAAGCUGUUUUUGCAGAUGCAGAGAACAAAGGAAAUUACCACCUUCCAGGUGUGCACAUGAAAGCGCAGGUCAGGUAUAUAAACAGUGUUGUUAGCUGAGGAAUAGAGUGCUUACUCAGUGGGAGCCCAUUUAUCCAUGUUCUGAUGGGGUUUAUUAAUUAUUAGUACAUGGCAGUUUAAUCUGUAAGUUUGGGGCUCCCAGAGGUGAAAGGCUCUUGCUUUGUGGUCAUUUCCUGAGCCUGCACCAGGUCUGUACCACUUCACAGCAGAGUUUCUACUUCGUGCCUCCACUGGCUCAUCAGCUAUUCCUGGUGGAGCUGAUUUCUUUUCAUUUCUGUAAAGGUGUUGCCAGCACUUUUCUAUAGGGAGGUCAGCUAGGAGAAUGACCAGGAGAGCUUAAAAUUCCCUAUGAUGAGUGAAAAAAGCACUCUAAAUGGCUCAGUCUUUUAAAAAAUCCUCUAUAAUGAAAUAUUCUCAAGCCAGAGAAAUGCAUAUACAGGAGGAGUGCAACAGCUUGCUCUUUAUCACUAAAAACUGCAAGCUUCAACAUUGCUUUUGUUAAACAUGGAUUUUUUAUCUUCCUAUCCAAUCACCCCCUACCACCAGGCUUUAAAAUUCUUUUUUCUCUGGUCAGAAAGCUGGUUCAGAUGCCAUACCUGUGGUUUCCCUCAUAUUCUGGAUCUUUUCAUAGAACUUGGUUUCCAUAGUAAAUGCUUUUCAAAAAUCAUAUGGUUCAAUAAAAGUACUCUGCAGUUCUUUAUUUUAUAAAGGAGUGCUCUCAUUAACUCACUGUUGAAUAACUCUUAUAACCUCAGAUCUGUUUGAAUUCUACUCCAAAUGUUCCAUUACAGGCCAUCUGACACCUCAUGAAACACAUUAUAAGCUCCAUUGCUAAGUUUCUGAUCUUAAGUCUUAGUCCUCAAACUAUUUUAUCAUACUGACAUUUGAACAAAAUAUGCUGAGACAGCAAAUGAGGAUCCAUAUUUAGCCAUGAAGAAACCAGGAGAAAGGAUUGGUUGGUAUUUACUGUUCAAAAAAUCAAUACUUUCCAAACUUCCUAGAGUGAUGCUAUGAGAAGCCUUUGUAUUCUUUGUGUUACCGCUUUUAAUUUUGUUUUGUCAAGACAGCACCUCGUUUAUUUUGGGAAUUAGAGAGGGGAGGAUGGUGCACCACAGUUGUUCAGGGGGCCCUGCUGAACCUGAACACAAGCCAUGCCACUGACAGCACGGGGUUGGUUUCACAGAUGUGGGGGAGAACUCCCCUAAGCCAGCAGCUCCAGUUUAGAAACAGCAACUCAGCCAGAGACCUGAUGAAAUCAGGGAGUUGGUGGCAGUCCUGCCCCUCAUUUCUGCAUGUGCCUUUUGAGCAUCACUUCCCUGCAAGCCCCAGCUGCAAAUGCAGCUCUCAGAGGGAUGCAGCUGAGGUGCACGUGCAGGAGUGCUGUGCACACAGAGUGGAAUCACAUCCUGCAGCGCUGGCUGGUGCCAGUGGGGAAAGCACAGCACAGUGCUCCCACCAAUCCCCUUUGGCAAAGCUCAGGGUUGCCAUAAAGCAAUAACAGUAUUCAUGCUAAUAUUGAUUUGUCCUAGUGAUAAGGGAAAAAUAAUUACCCAGAAGUAAACUAAUCAUAUCCUUUAAAAAGGCAAGGUACUGCUUUCAGAUGUGACCUAGUUGUGUUUGGCUUGGGUUUUUAUAAGAGCACUGUGAGCACCAAGACACUGUAGUGUUGCUGUUGCCUGAUCCUUGCUCUUGUGAGCCCUCUGUACUCCAGCAGUUCUUCAAAAACUGCUUUUGCCAGUCCUUGCCUAUUGAUUACUUUAUUUUCAUCAGUUGGGAGAAUAAUUAGGCCUAUUUCUAGUGAGAUUUUUCACCUGGUUUAGCAGAGCGAGAAGCAUACAGGCAUUCUGCUACUCAUGCUACUGGUGUCUUUUAAGUUUGUUUUUAUGUCUUGUUGCAUUUUGGAUCACAUCAGUAAUCUGUCACAUCUCCAGCAAGAAGUAUACGAAAUGUGGCAGAACAUUAUUUCACAAUUUUGGGUGAUCGUAUCCUACUCAGUAUUAUGGCACAUAAAAAAAAUCACCAAGAAAUUACCAUAGUAUUGGUAGGAUUAACUAAUGUCAAGCUGGUGCUUCCUUAAGUUGUCCUUCUAUUUUCAUGAGAAAACAAAUGUGCAAAGCACCUAAAUGGCUGGCUGGGAAAUAACUUGAAUCAGCAGUGCAAGUAGAGAAAACAAGUAUCUGAGCCUUUAAAGAAGGAGAAAUGUCUGUGACAAUAUGUAAUUAUAUGGUUGUGUGAUCAUCAGAGAUCACAAAGCAUUGGUGAUGCACCUCUAAAGUCAUAGGUUUUGGUACAGCAGGAGGAAACACAUUCUGAUUUUCUGCUGACAAAGACAGCAUCUUUUUCACUUAAGAAAAGGGCAGGCCUGUCUAUCAUCACCAUGCUGGCUGCAGUCCCCAUGUGAACCCCAACUGCCUCCUCUUUCAUACAGACCACUUAUCCUGCAUGGAUUUUUGGGUGCAAGUAUGAGAAUUAGUUCUUGUGUCAGGGAAACUGGGUUGUCUUCUUUUUGUUUGUUUGUUUGUGGCUUUUUUUGUUGUUUUUUUAAUCUUAAGUAGGCUUUAUAAAUUUUUCCUUUCAAUUUCAUCAUAUAAAAAUUCAGUGUAUUUUUUCCUUCUUAGUACUGUUAAAUGUUUUGCAGGCUUAAUUUAAACAUAAUGACUGCCUGAAUACAUUUGUUUUCUUAUUUGGUUGACAAAACCAAUGAAGCAUUUACAUUGCAAGGCCUUGGCACGUUUUCAGUUUGGGAUCACUAGACAGCUAAAGAGGAAGGGCUAAAGUCUGUGAAGGUGAAAAUAAUGCACUUAUUUUCCCCUUAUGAAACUGCACAUAUUGCUCCUUGCAGAGUACCAGCCCUGCAUGCAAAAGUCUAGCAUGGAAUAAAUGCUUUUGUGUAGCUUUGAAUGCUGUAUGGCAUGACCAACAUUUAUACAGAUGAAGCAAGAAAGACAAGAUUGGGAAGAAAUAAGUAAAGUGCCCAGAGCUUUGGAAUGGUGUGUUUUCCCUGUCCUGGGUCAAUGCACAUCUGGAAGCCUCCUGUGGGUCCAUGGGCCCCCUCGGGCUGGUGGCAGCUGAUCCUGCCUUCUGAGCAAAGGGGCAUUAAGAAGAGGAGGCAUUGAGACCCCAGGAGUGGUUACUCCUCCCUUCCAUUAACAUCCUCCUCAGAGAUCCUUAGGGGUCUCUAGAGAAUAGGGCAUUGUGCAAUUUCUCUCCUUUUCAGAGGGGGCUCCAAGCCCUUGGCUGUGUAAAUGGGCAAAGAUACCGAGGAUCCA